This 564-nucleotide long non-coding RNA is filed under the name Mytilus galloprovincialis (Mediterranean mussel). The record is from RNAcentral. Lineage: Eukaryota; Metazoa; Mollusca; Bivalvia; Mytilida; Mytilidae.
UGACAAACAUAAAUAAAAAUAAAUAUUUAUGCAAAUUAAAACUAACCAUCUCGUGACUUAACUCUCUUGAAUGGAACGCUUAACAAAUAUAUUUCAUGGAAUGCACAUUCGUCUAGAGGACCGAUAAGAAAUAUUAUUCGUGAAAAAAGCUUUUCAUGUGUUAUAAAUGUACUAUGCUUUAUCACUGUCUGAGACCUAGAUCAAUGUAAGUACACAUCUACCGAAUGUAUAACUGAUAUAAAUUACAACAAAAACGUGAUCAGAAAAUGAACAUGUAAAUAAAUGCAUGGGACACAUUGCAAUAGUUCAAUUCUCUUAAAGAUAAAUGACAAUUAUUGCAAAUGCAAAGCACCAGAAUGCAAGUACUUAAAAUUAAAAUAAUACCGCUAGAACUACAGAAGAUAUCGGAACGUAAAAACAUGAAUAUUCAUAGAAAAAGAGAAGCUGAAGAUACGAAAGGGACAUAACAACUAUUAAGUCGGAAAUAAUCUAAACGGGAAAAACACAACAAGAGACAACCAACAGUACACAAAUCAAAUAUAGAAAACGCAACUUAAACUCCAC